AGAGUUUGAUUAUGGCUCAGGACGAACGCUGGCGGCGUGCCUAACACAUGCAAGUUGAGCGGAGAUAUAUGGAGCUUGCUUUAUAUAACUUAGCAGCGAACGGGUGAGUAACACGUAGAUAAUCUAUCCUAUACUGGGGGAUAGCCCGAUGAAAGUUGGAUUAAUACCGCAUAUAGCUAUAUAGUUGCAUGAUUAUGUAGUGAAAGAUUUAUUGGUAUAGGAGGAGUCUGCGGCACAUUAGCUAGUAGGUGAGGUAAAGGCUUACCUAGGCGACGAUGUGUAGCCGGUCUGAGAGGAUGAACGGCCACAAUGGAACUGAGACACGGUCCAUACUCCUACGGGAGGCAGCAGUGGGGAAUAUUGCACACUGGGGGAAACCCUGAUGCAGCAACGCCGCGUGAGUGAAGAAGGUUUUCGGAUUGUAAAGCUCUGUUAGCAGGGAAGAGGAAGGACGGUACCUGCAGAGGAAGCCACGGCUAACUACGUGCCAGCAGCCGCGGUAAUACGUAGGUGGCAAGCGUUGUUCGGAAUAACUGGGCGUAAAGGAUGCGUAAGCGGUUAAACAAGUUAUAUGUUAAAUAUAUAAGCUUAACCUGUAGAAAGCAUAUAAAACUGUUUAACU
This 622-nucleotide ribosomal RNA is filed under the name uncultured bacterium. RNAcentral describes it as "bacterial SSU rRNA". It matches the Rfam family "Bacterial small subunit ribosomal RNA", at positions 8 to 642 of the family's 1533-position model. The record is from RNAcentral.